Molecule: RNA transcript, 729 nt
Organism: Cercocebus atys (sooty mangabey)
Lineage: Eukaryota; Metazoa; Chordata; Mammalia; Primates; Cercopithecidae
Gene name: EF-hand calcium-binding domain-containing protein 10
Exons: 2
Source: RefSeq, a predicted model, not a curated record
CCGAUGGAGACCAGCAACAGGGAGCUCCAAGCCGCGGAGUAUUUGGAAAGGCAUCAGAUCAAGGAGCUGAAAAACCAAGAGAAUAUUUAAUAUCUCUAUUGGAACGACUGAGAAUUGCAAAAGUAACAGGCGUAGCAUUUCCUUUCUUUAUGGAUAACUCUAACAUUGUGGCCAUGUUUGAGAUGAUGGACUCCUCAGGCAGAGGCACUAUAUCAUUUGUGCAGUAUAAAGAAGGUCAGUACAUUCUACAAAUUGAGGUAAUAGUUUGUGGUCAUUCCAUAAUUUUUUUCUAGCAGAAAAUACUUCUCACUUUGUAAAAUUCUCACUUAAUUUCUUCUCAUUAUUUUACAGCCCUAAAAACUCUGGGUCUAUGCACUGAAGAUGAAGAUUUAAAAGAUGAUGGACAUAUAAUAACUUUGGAUAAAUUCAAGGAGGAAGUGUAAGUUUAUUUUUAAGUGACAAAUAUUUUAAUAAGGUGGCAUGAUUUUGAAACAUAACGCCCUUUAAAAUAGGUUCCUAUCUUUUGAAAGAAAUAUUUUGUUCCCUUAAAACUUUCAGCUGACUGGAAAGUGAGGACAGGGAAGGCUGACAGUAAAGUCUCUAAGCUCGGGAAUAGGAGGGGAAAAUGCUGGGGUUAGAGAGGAAGCUCCGGAGGUAGCUUCAUUCUUUUUUUUUUUUCUGAGAUGGAGUCUUGCUCUGUUGCCCAGGCUGGAGUGCAGUGGCAGUAUC